GAUGAACGCUGGCGGCGUGCCUAAUACAUGCAAGUCGAGCGAGCGGACGAGAAGCUUGCUUCUCUGAUGUUAGCGGCGGACGGGUGAGUAACACGUGGAUAACCUACCUAUAAGACUGGGAUAACUUCGGGAAACCGGAACUAAUACCGGAUAAUAUUUUGAACCGCAUGGUUCAAAAGUGAAAGACGGUCUUGCUGUUACUUAUAGAUGGAUCCGCGCUGCAUUAGCUAGUUGGUAAGGUAACGGCUUACCAAGGCAACGAUGCAUAGCCGACCUGAGAGGGUGAUCGGCCACACUGGAACUGAGACACGGUCCAGACUCCUACGGGAGGCAGCAGUAGGGAAUCUUCCGCAAUGGGCGAAAGCCUGACGGAGCAACGCCGCGUGAGUGAUGAAGGUCUUCGGAUCGUAAAACUCUGUUAUUAGGGAAGAACAUAUGUGUAAGUAACUGUGCACAUCUUGACGGUACCUAAUCAGAAAGCCACGGCUAACUACGUGCCAGCAGCCGCGGUAAUACGUAGGUGGCAAGCGUUAUCCGGAAUUAUUGGGUGUAAAGCGCGCGUAGGCGGUUUUUUAAGUCUGAUGUGAAAGCCCACGGCUCAACCGUGGAGGGUCAUUGGAAACUGGAAAACUUGAGUGCAGAAGAGGAAAGUGGAAUUCCAUGUGUAGCGGUGAAAUGCGCAGAGAUAUGGAGGAACACCAGUGGCGAAGGCGACUUUCUGGUCUGUAACUGACGCUGAUGUGCGAAAGCGUGGGGAUCAAACAGGAUUAGAUACCCUGGUAGUCCACGCCGUAAACGAUGAGUGCUAAGUGUUAGGGGGUUUCCGCCCCUUAGUGCUGCAGCUAACGCAUUAAGCACUCCGCCUGGGGAGUACGACCGCAAGGUUGAAACUCAAAGGAAUUGACGGGGACCCGCACAAGCGGUGGAGCAUGUGGUUUAAUUCGAAGCAACGCGAAGAACCUUACCAAAUCUUGACAUCCUUUGACAACUCUAGAGAUAGAGCUUUCCCCUUCGGGGGACAAAGUGACAGGUGGUGCAUGGUUGUCGUCAGCUCGUGUCGUGAGAUGUUGGGUUAAGUCCCGCAACGAGCGCAACCCUUAAGCUUAGUUGCCAUCAUUAAGUUGGGCACUCUAAGUUGACUGCCGGUGACAAACCGGAGGAAGGUGGGGAUGACGUCAAAUCAUCAUGCCCCUUAUGAUUUGGGCUACACACGUGCUACAAUGGACAAUACAAAGGGCAGCGAAACCGUGAGGUCAAGCAAAUCCCAUAAAGUUGUUCUCAGUUCGGAUUGUAGUCUGCAACUCGACUACAUGAAGCUGGAAUCGCUAGUAAUCGUAGAUCAGCAUGCUACGGUGAAUACGUUCCCGGGUCU
RNAcentral lists this ribosomal RNA (1372 nucleotides) under uncultured bacterium. RNAcentral describes it as "bacterial SSU rRNA". It matches the Rfam family "Bacterial small subunit ribosomal RNA", at positions 28 to 1381 of the family's 1533-position model. The record is from RNAcentral.